GACGAACGCUGGCGGCGUGCUUAACACAUGCAAGUCGAACGGAAAGGCCCUGCUUUUGUGGGGUGCUCGAGUGGCGAACGGGUGAGUAACACGUGAGUAACCUGCCCUUGACUUUGGGAUAACUUCAGGAAACUGGGGCUAAUACCGGAUAGGAGCUCCUGCUGCAUGGUGGGGGUUGGAAAGUUUCGGCGGUUGGGGAUGGACUCGCGGCUUAUCAGCUUGUUGGUGGGGUAGUGGCUUACCAAGGCUUUGACGGGUAGCCGGCCUGAGAGGGUGACCGGCCACAUUGGGACUGAGAUACGGCCCAGACGCCUACGGGAGGCAGCAGUGGGGAAUAUGGCACAAUGGGCGGAAGCCUAAUGCAGCAACGCCGCGUGCGGGAUGACGGCCUUCGGGUUGUAAACCGCUUUCGCCUGUGACGAAGCGUGAGUGACGGUAAUGGGUAAAGAAGCACCGGCUAACUACGUG
This 468-nucleotide ribosomal RNA is filed under the name uncultured bacterium. Its description in RNAcentral is "partial 16S ribosomal RNA". It matches the Rfam family "Bacterial small subunit ribosomal RNA", at positions 28 to 507 of the family's 1533-position model. The record is from RNAcentral.